RNAcentral lists this ribosomal RNA (775 nucleotides) under uncultured Neocallimastigales. RNAcentral's name for it is "partial large subunit ribosomal RNA". It matches the Rfam family "Eukaryotic large subunit ribosomal RNA", at positions 24 to 634 of the family's 3401-position model. Lineage: Eukaryota; Fungi; Neocallimastigomycota; Neocallimastigomycetes; Neocallimastigales. The record is from RNAcentral.
UAUCUCUGUAGAGUCUGCAUAUCAAUAAGCGGAGGAAAAGAAACUAACUAGGAUUCCCUCAGUAACGGCGAGUGAAGCGGGAAGAGCUCAAAUUUGAAAUCUUCAAGGUUCUACCUUGACGAAUUGUAGUUUAAAGAAGUGUUUUCUGUUGGAGUUUUGGUAAAAGUUCUUUGGAAUAGGACAUCAUAGAGGGUGAGAAUCCCGUAUUUGACCAUUAUUUCCAGCUUUGUGAUACACUUUCAAAGAGUCGGAUUGUUUGGGAAUGCAGUCCAAAAUGGGUGGUAAAUUUCAUCUAAAGCUAAAUACUAGGCGAGAGACCGAUAGCGAACAAGUACCGUGAGGGAAAGAUGAAAAGAACUUUGAAAAGAGAGUUAAACAGUACGUGAAAUUGUCAAAAGGGAAGCGUUUGACACCAGUGUUGUUUUCUCGAAAAUCAAUUAAAAAAGGCAGGAUUUUGUGUUGUAUUGACUUUAUCAGCUUUCUGCAGUCUUUUCUUGUCUUUUUUAAUGCACUUUUCGUUUAACAAGUCAACAUCAAUUUCUUUUGUUGUAAAAGGGUCAUUGGAAGGUGGCUUUCUUUUCGGAGAAAGUGUUUAUAGCCUUUGGCCUCUGCAAUCGGAGAGAUUGAGGUCUGCAGCGUAGAUCCUUCGGGGUUAGAUACAUUUGUGCUAAGUUAUAGCCUUCCAUAGACAACUUGUUGACUAUGAUCAGUCAUGUAGCUUACUCGCUUAUGCUAUUUUACCUACGCUUAGGAUGUUGACGAUCAGCUGAGCGCG